GGCUGAGUGCCUUCAAUACGUCAGAGUUUAGACACCCUCUGGCUCAACUUUAUUGGCCAGUCUUCAUUAGUCAUUGAAACACAAGUGGAAAGAAGAUAAAGAUCCCUGUUAUUUGAGAGCAAAUCUUCUGAAUAUCCAUUCCAUGAAACUCAGAUACCCUCUCUAGGAACACAAACCCCUGGUGUGAAUUUCACUUUCUGAGGAUUUGAUAUUAGUAAAC
This 220-nucleotide long non-coding RNA is filed under the name Rhinopithecus roxellana (golden snub-nosed monkey). RNAcentral describes it as "lncRNA (ENSRROG00000045979.1)". Lineage: Eukaryota; Metazoa; Chordata; Mammalia; Primates; Cercopithecidae. The record is from RNAcentral.